Molecule: ribosomal RNA, 250 nt
Filed under: uncultured Prevotellaceae bacterium
Lineage: Bacteria; Pseudomonadati; Bacteroidota; Bacteroidia; Bacteroidales; Prevotellaceae
Description: partial 16S ribosomal RNA
Rfam family: Bacterial small subunit ribosomal RNA
Source: RNAcentral
CGUCGACCGGCGCACGGGUGCGUAACGCGUAUCGAACCUGCCCUUUACUCAGGGAUAGCCUUGCGAAAGUAAGAUUAAUACCUGAUGGUGUUGUGGAGAGACAUCUUUUUGCAACUAAAGAUUUAUUGGUAGAGGAUGGCGAUGCGUCUGAUUAGGUAGUAGGUGUGGUAACGGCUCACCUAGCCGACGAUCAGUAGGGGUUCUGAGAGGAAGGUCCCCCACAUUGGAACUGAGACACGGUCCAAACUCC